Long non-coding RNA from Raphanus sativus (radish), 868 nucleotides. RefSeq lists it as uncharacterized. Lineage: Eukaryota; Viridiplantae; Streptophyta; Magnoliopsida; Brassicales; Brassicaceae. The transcript is spliced from 3 exons. The record is from RefSeq and is a predicted model, not a curated record.
GGAUUUGAAGAAAGUGAAUCAAAAUCCACUGUUAUUGGAUUAAGGAUUUAUCAAUUAGAAUUUGAAAAGAAUUAUUUUCCCCUGUUAUUCAAUAUCACACAGAUUUUCGUGAGAAAUUAGUUAUAAUGGAUUUUGAGGAACUUUUCAGUAAAAAACAAGAAGAAACAAAUCCUACUUUUUUUAUCUGGUUUUCGAAAGAAACCCAAAACAGCUUCCUUUUUUUCUCUUCCGUUCUUCACCAAACUUUUCACCGAAUCCCUAACCACUCAGCGUUUCUCUCCUACUCCACCGUUCACCUCCGUGACUCCGUCUCGCAGUCCUACAAACCUUCCGCUGGAACCUCGUUUGCUUUGAAUCAAUCGCAGUCGCGAAAGCUCUAGCUGAUACCUCGGUCUUUACGGCGCGUUUGCAGAGAAGAGAAUUGAAAGCCAAUGCUAAGGUUGUUCCCCUUAAUCUGUAGCAGUUUUUAUUCAAGAAGUUCUUGGAAUAAAAAAAUCUGGUGGUGAUAAGGAGAGAGUUGAGUACGUGAAACAAAAGGCAAGGAGUAUGCAAACAGUACCUUGGCCAAACAGUACCUUGGCCUGAGAUGUUGUUGUAACAGAGUAUGCAGAUGCCACUUUACAAUUUUCACAUCCUGUGGUUGAUCUCUUAUCCUUUUUCACUCACAGAAACUUGUCAAUGAUGAGAUAGAGCAGGUGAAAGGUUUGGCACUCCAGUGUUGCUUUUCGUGAAACUCUCGUGUAAGCGUCGUCAUCUCGCAUCUUCAACGGCUCAAGUCUUGGAUCAAAAUACUGUAUAAAAUCCUUCACAGAAAUCAAUGUACUUCAAACCAUUCUAUCUAAAUCCUACUCAUCGAUUGUAGAAUCCA